This 234-nucleotide non-coding RNA is filed under the name Ligilactobacillus animalis. Its description in RNAcentral is "Lactobacillus animalis T-box sequence". It matches the Rfam family "T-box leader". Rfam says of the family: Uncharged tRNA acts as the effector for transcription antitermination of genes in the T-box leader family. T-boxes are found upstream of many aminoacyl-tRNA synthetase genes and some amino acid biosynthetic genes usually in Gram-positive bacteria. Lineage: Bacteria; Bacillati; Bacillota; Bacilli; Lactobacillales; Lactobacillaceae. The record is from RNAcentral.
UUAACGAUAUCGAGCGGAAGAGUAGAAGAUGUUUACCUGAAAAAGAGACUAUCCGGGAGCUGAAAAGGAUAGAGGUGGCAUUUUUGAACCACAUCCGUGAAUUGGUACACUGAACCUAAAGUAGUAGGUGUAUCCGGUCAGAAGUCCGUUACACUUGAGUUAAGUUAACUCACUGAGACUCCUUUUGUGAGAAAGGAGUAAAUAUGAGGUGGAACCGCGUAAAACGCCCUCUUG